UGUUGGUAUCUUAGUGGCGGACGGGUGAGUAACGCGUGGGUAACCUGCCUUACACUGGGGGAUAACACUUAGAAAUAGGUGCUAAUACCGCAUAACAGGGAAAGAUGCAUGUCUUUUCCUUGAAAACUCCGGUGGUGUAAGAUGGACCCGCGUCUGAUUAGCUGGUUGGCGGGGUAACGGCCCACCAAGGCGACGAUCAGUAGCCGGCCUGAGAGGGUGAACGGCCACAUUGGGACUGAGACACGGCCCAAACUCCUACGGGAGGCAGCAG
RNAcentral lists this ribosomal RNA (271 nucleotides) under uncultured bacterium. RNAcentral describes it as "partial 16S ribosomal RNA". It matches the Rfam family "Bacterial small subunit ribosomal RNA", at positions 82 to 354 of the family's 1533-position model. The record is from RNAcentral.